GCCCAGUCAGCUUGGUGGGUAGAGUGUCUGCCUUGUAAGCGUUAGGUCGCGGGGUCGAUUCCCGCUCGGGGCG
RNAcentral lists this transfer RNA (73 nucleotides) under Diaphorina citri (Asian citrus psyllid). It matches the Rfam family "tRNA". Rfam says of the family: Transfer RNA (tRNA) molecules are approximately 80 nucleotides in length. Their secondary structure includes four short double-helical elements and three loops (D, anti-codon, and T loops). The record is from Rfam by way of RNAcentral. Lineage: Eukaryota; Metazoa; Arthropoda; Insecta; Hemiptera; Psyllidae.